Small nuclear RNA from Crotalus tigris (Tiger rattlesnake), 104 nucleotides. NCBI's taxonomy places the organism in Eukaryota, Metazoa, Chordata, Lepidosauria, Squamata, Viperidae. The record is from RefSeq and is a predicted model, not a curated record.
GUGCUUGCUUCAGCAACACAUAAACUAAAACUGAAAUGAUACAGAGAAUAACGUUGCCCUUGCACAAGAAUGGCAUGCAAAUUCAUGCAGCAUUCCAUAUUUUU